GGAAUCUUCCACAAUGGACGAAAGUCUGAUGGAGCAACGCCGCGUGAGUGAAGAAGGUUUUCGGAUCGUAAAACUCUGUUGUUGGAGAAGAACACGUUUGAGAGUAACUGUUCAGACGUUGACGGUAUCCAACCAGAAAGCCACGGCUAACUCCGUGCCAGCAGCCGCGGUAAUACGGAGGAUGCAAGCGUUAUCCGGAUUUAUUGGGUUUAAAGGGUGCGUAGGCGGUGCUACAAGUCAGCGGUGAAAGACCGGGGCCCAACCUCGGAAGUGCCGUUGAUACUGUAGUGCUGGAGUACCCAUGCCGUGGGAGGAAUGAGUGGUGUAGCGGUGAAAUGCAUAGAUAUCACUCAGAACACCGAUUGCGAAGGCAUCUCACGAAUGGGGGACUGACGCUGAGGCACGAAAGCGUGGGGAUCAAACA
RNAcentral lists this ribosomal RNA (424 nucleotides) under uncultured bacterium. Its description in RNAcentral is "bacterial SSU rRNA". It matches the Rfam family "Bacterial small subunit ribosomal RNA", at positions 358 to 774 of the family's 1533-position model. The record is from RNAcentral.